GCUGCGGUGUCCGAGCGGUUAAGGAGUUGGACUUGAAAUCCAAUGCGUUCUACCCUCACAGGUUCGAAUCCUGUCCACAGCG
Molecule: transfer RNA, 82 nt
Filed under: Schistocerca americana (American grasshopper)
Lineage: Eukaryota; Metazoa; Arthropoda; Insecta; Orthoptera; Acrididae
Description: tRNA-Ser
Rfam family: tRNA
About the family: Transfer RNA (tRNA) molecules are approximately 80 nucleotides in length. Their secondary structure includes four short double-helical elements and three loops (D, anti-codon, and T loops). Further hydrogen bonds mediate the characteristic L-shaped molecular structure. tRNAs have two regions of fundamental functional importance: the anti-codon, which is responsible for specific mRNA codon recognition, and the 3' end, to which the tRNAs corresponding amino acid is attached (by aminoacyl-tRNA synthetases). tRNAs cope with the degeneracy of the genetic code in two manners: having more than one tRNA (with a specific anti-codon) for a particular amino acid; and 'wobble' base-pairing, i.e. permitting non-standard base-pairing at the 3rd anti-codon position.
Source: RNAcentral